Molecule: RNA transcript, 6359 nt
Organism: Onychostoma macrolepis
Lineage: Eukaryota; Metazoa; Chordata; Actinopteri; Cypriniformes; Cyprinidae
Gene: tgfbr1a
Gene name: transforming growth factor, beta receptor 1 a
Exons: 5
Source: RefSeq, a predicted model, not a curated record
CAGAUUCGCAGUAGUUUUGAGGCACAGCUGAACUCCCCUGCUGAACUGAGGCAGGGUAAAGCGUGAACAAUGUGGGCAGGGCAUAUUUCUCCGCGCUGACCAAUCAGAACGCUCUCUUUCUCGAAGCAAAGACCUGACCACUUGAAUGUGUGAGAAAAAACUGACCAGUCCUAAAGAAUAAUCUCUAGCACGAUGGACGUGGGAACAUUACUUAGCCGCUCGAUACUGCUGGCUUUACUCGUAUUCACGGUGACCCAGGAAGCGCGAGAAUACUACCUAGGGGUGUUCAGAUAUGGCGCAGGUCAUAGGAAGGUGCGCUGGCAUGAGUGUUUAGUGAUUUUUGUGCCGUGACAUCGGUCACAUCCACAACAGUUAGCGAGCGUUUUUCUGAGGGGAGAUGGGGUGGCUCGCGCAUGCAAUCGGAGCACCGCGCGAGGUUUGGAUAUCGCGACACAGUAUUUAUUUACCAUACUUCAAAGCUCCUGUUAAUUUAUAACAACGUCUAGAUCAAAUGUUCAGUCAUCUGAAACUGUUGACGAGAUUUGCUUUCAUUAGCAAGCAGCAGUUUACCUUCAGUCAGUUUCUAUUUCACGUCUGUUCCGCACGUGUUUUGUGGUGAUAGACGUUUUUCAUAAUAUGACAUUUAAAAACUCCCCGUCGACUCAUUUAUCAAUUCUAAUAGUUUUAGGGUACAGCCCAGACAGGUUCUUAUUAAUUUCCGAUACGCACGAGUGACAUCAAAGUCUGCAUUUCAGUGCAUCUGCCAUCAAGUUAUGUGGACUGAUAGGAAACCUGUUUUACAUGUUUACUUGUGUUGUAAUAACAGGUCGGACUAUUUCUGUACGUUACAAAUAUCACAGGCUAUUCUUAACAGACGAUACAGGACACCAGCUCUGGGAUAGCUGAUAUCUUCUUAUCCAUUAUUUUUGGUUAAGUAAAUUUAAUGUGAUUGAACUUCUGUGGAUGCAACAGUUUGUUUGAACAGAGGCGUUUCACAACAGUACACACACACACACACACACACACACACACUAAAUUGUUACAUCUGUCGUGGAUACAAAUGUGACCCUGGACCACAAAACCAGUCUUAAGUCGCUGGGGUAUAUUUGUAGCAGUAACCAAAAAUACACUGUAUGGGUCAAAAUUAUAGAUUUUUCUUUUAUGCCAAAAAUCAUUAGGAUAUUAAGUAAAGAUCAAAGUUCCAUGAAGAUAUUUUGUAAAUUUACUACUGUAAAUAUAUCAAAACGUCGUUUUUGAUUAGUAAUAUGCAUGGCUAAGAAUUCAUUUGGACAACUUUAAAGGCGAUUUUCUCAAUAUUUAGAUUUUUUUGCACCCUCAGAUUCCAGAUUUUCAAAUAGUUGUAUCUCGGCCAAAUAUUGUCAUAUCCUAACAACCCCAUACAUCAAGCUUUCAGAUGAUGUAUAAAUCUCAAUUUCAAAAAAUUGACACUUAAGACUGGUUUUGUGGUCCAGGGUCACAAAUGACUAGGGGUGUGCAGUAGUGAUGGGUCAUUAUUGAACAAAUAAUUCGUUUAUUUUGAACGAAUCUUUAAUGUCUUUCGGAUGAGACAUUAAACCGAGGUCCUGACUCUCUAUGGUCAUUAAAAAUACCAUGGCACUUCUCGUAAAAAGAGUAGAGGUGUAACCCCAGUGUCCUGGCCAGAUUCCCUCCACUGGCCCUUAUCAAUCAUGGCCUCCUAAUAAUCCCCAUCUACUUGAUUGGCUCUAUGACUCUCUCUCCUCUCCACCAUGUAGCUGGUGUGUGGUGAGCCCACUGGCGCCGUUGUCCUGUGGCUGCCGUCGCAUCAUCCAAGUGGAUGCUGCACACUGGUGGUGGUUGAGGAGAGACCCCUCCACAUGAUUGUAAAGCGCUUUGGGUGUACAGCAAUACACAAUAAAGCGCUAUAUAAAUGCAUCAUUCAUUCGUUCAAUGUGACUCGGGAAGAACGAGUCGUCUCUGGGAGUGAUUCAUUCAGUCACGCAUGCGCAACAUCCUAUAGGCACUGAAAUAGUUCACCUGUUUCGAGUCUUCGGGUUUUUCGAGUCGUUCGUUCAUCACGUGACAGCCUCAUACGCAUAACCUAUGCAGUCUGAGCCGGAAAGAGAAUUGAUUAGUUCAGCUCUCGAUUCUUCGGGUUUGAGUCGUUCGUUCAUCAUGUGACAGCCCCAUAAACCUAUGCAGUCUGAGGGAAAAAGACUUAAUAAUAAUAAUAACCAACCCUUUAGUUUAUUACCUUUGUUACCACAUUCAGCGUUAUGGAAAAGAACCAUCAUGACAGAAAUUCACACAUUUAUAAACUGUAAGAAAUAAAAAGCUACAAUUUGAGACCAGAAACGAUCAACAUUUGCAUAAGUAGUAGAUGUGUUUGGGAAGUAGCACAUAAUAUUUUAAUUAUGUUGCUAAAAUGAACGAAAUGACUUGAAAAAAGAUUAGUUCAUUUUGCUGAACGAGACUCAAAUGAUCAGUUAAUGAUCCGAACUUCCCAUCACUAGUGUGCAGCGAAGCCAGUAUUUGUAUCUGUAUUUGUAUCUGUUACGAUCACAAAAUUAUUCGUAUCUGUAUUUGGAUGAAACCGGAAGUAGGCGGAGCUUGAACCAGAACUUCGUACAGAUAUACUUAUAGCCGUUAUUAUGUUCAUGGUAUUACAGCCUAUCUUUUUUCGUAGUUAUCACUGAACAAAUAUGCUGUGUUUAACUAAGAUAAUAAUUUUUUUAUGAAAAAUCUUCUAACAGUCGGAGCCAAUACCCUUGUAUUGUAUAGGCAGUGCUUUGAGAUGCAGUGCGGUUGUGCUUCGGGCAACAAAGUUGGAGACCCACAGCUUGGGGACAUUUCGUGAUCCGAUAAAUAAAUAUUUAAAUAUCUUCUAAUUAAAACAGUAAGGGUUCCUAUGCAGUUUAGAAAUAUGGAAAUUGAUUUAAGGAAUUUCCAGGAAAUGCAUGGAAGGCAACUGCAACACUGCUAUUUUAUUUGCGCUUAUUUCAUUAGUAGGCCUAUUUUAAACUCAUUUACUUCACACACUUCUUACUGCUUUGUAAUUUUAGAGGUUUAUGUAAAACAACAUGAUUUCCUUUGGCUCACCGGCUCCUGCGCAGUUUUAAAAGUAUUUUACUUGCAGGUCUGUAUUUGCAGGUCUGGAAAAGUUGGCUAUGGAAAAAAAGGGAACAGAGUAUGGGAAAAUAUUAGUUUCGACUAUUUGCCCGAUUGGGUGUUCUAAAAUAUAAAAUUAAAAAUUUCUAAAAAUAAAUUUCAUACACUCUUAGGAAAAAUGGUUCUAAACAGUACCAGAAAAGGGUUCUUCAGCUUGUAACAAUAGCAGAACCCUUUUUGGUGCUAAAUAGAACCCUUUUUAUAGGGUUCCAUAAAGAACCAUGCUUUGAAAAUGCUAUAUAGGACCUUAAUGGUCUUUUUAAUGAUAGUUUAUUUUCAUUAAUAUUAGUAUAUUAGUGUGUUUAUAUCUUUAAUAGUAUUAUUAAUAUUAUUUGUAUAUAUGAUUUAUUAAUAUAGUUUUUUACCACUCUAUCUGCCUGGUGUUAUAUUAUCUUGUAGCCUCUAUUAGGGUUUUUACAUAAUAAAACAACAACAAUAGCAUGUCAAUUAGGUACUUUUAUUUAUUGAUUUUUAAUGAUAUGCGAAAUUGUAACAAAAAUACAAUUUGUAUUUAAAUUUAAGAAUGAAAUCAUUUACCUGUUGAGAGUGUGUUGACGGUCUGUGUAGCUGUAUCACUGAACUCCAGAAAAUCAGUAAUGAGUAGAGCUGGGAAUCGAUUCCAUCAAGAGGAAUCGACUCCUCAUUCAGAGCUUUUUUCAGUUCAACAAAGCUUAUCUAUGGGUGCCUCUCAAAUGGAAGGCUGCAUCCUACGAAGGCUGCACACAUUUAAAUUCACAAAAAUAAACUGAAAGAAAACGAGUCGGUACUGAGAUCAUCAGAAUUUGAGGAUGCAGCCUUCCAUUUGAGAAGCACCAUUCGCCUCCCUCAUGCUCGAUAAAAGCCGUAAUUACAGUUGUGAGUUGUUUUUAUAUAUAAAAGAUCUAUUUCAUUUUUAUGUAUUACCCUUCACCUCAUGCUCGCUAAAAGUUAUUAGAAGUCUGAUUCGUUUCCACGAAAAGUUUCUUUUGGAUAGUUUUAAUGAACCAGUUAAAAAAAUUUUGAGCGCUGCACGACAGAAUAGAUCAUGACGUGAUUGAGGAUCUUAUUUCCAUCUAAAAUACUAUUUUUUUAUUUCUAUCAGCCAAUGAUAAUUCUAAAAGAAAACAUCACGAGCAUAGAUCAGUGGCCAAGAGCGCAUCUGAUUGACAAAUAAACCAUGAGCUCUAUCAGUGUUCUUGUUAAUGUUCUGGUUAUUUUGUUUCAAUGCACAGUUUGUUAAUUUUAUCCUAAGCAUACAGUCAAAGUAAACUUCAUCAUUCAGCUGAACUGUGCAUAUUUAUUUUAGACAUUUCAUGUCUUUUUCAAUUCAUGUGAUAUGCAUGUCCCUGCUGAGCAGUGAGCUAUGACUAAUUUCACGGGCAAAGCAGACAAAAUUACUAUUUAAAAAUCAAUCAUAGCUAUAGAAAUUUAUUGUCAUUUUUUACAAAUAAAGCUUCAUAUUAUGAGAAGGAUACUUUCUACGACCUUUAUAUCCCGCAGUCAUGGCGAGAUUAGGUUCCUUCGAUCUAAAAAAACAAGAAUCGAAAAAGAAACGAAAACAACAGAGCAAUUGAUUCUCGGAAUCGACUCCCAUCGAUUCCAGAACCAGGAAUCGGAAUCAGACUCGAUUACAAAAAUUUUGAAUCUUACAGCCCUAGUAAUGAGGUACUUUGACAGUUACAGAUUUGAAAAACAAAAGGGCGGGAAUAAAGAACGCUAAACUUUAACACAAAGAACCAUUUCAGCAUUAAAGGGUUCUUAAGGAUGCUAUGGUUCUAAAUAUAACCGUUACUUCAUGUAAAGAACCUUUAAAGAACCAUCUUUUUUAGAGUGUGCAAGUGGAGAGAUUUCAUGAGAAAAUUUCAUUUAGUAAUCAUUUGAACACAACUGAAUUAAUUCAAGGCACACAUUUUCAUUAUACACUGUUAUCUCUGAAAUUGUUUUAACCUAAAUUAAUUAAGUACAUUAAACAUAAACAUUAAAAAAAAAUUAUGUAGUACUCAGGUUUUUGAGUUAGGUGUACCAUUUACACAAGUUUUCUCAUUCUAUUGAAUUUUUUAAGUUGAAUCAACUUAACUAAGCUUAUUUGAGUCCAUUGUCAAUGGCAACGUAUAGUGGAAUGCAGCACAAAGAAGCUGAUUGGGCUGAGCUGGCUGUUUGAACUGACGUCAUGCAGGCAGUGUCUGCACGGAUGUAGCACGCGCAUUUCUGUCAACGUUUGCUGAGUGAUGUAACCCCUUCACUUCCAUUUUAUCAAUCACCAAGGACCAUGGAUUCAAUCACCUACAUCUUCAAUGGCCUUAGGAUCUCUGACCUCGCUGACAUGAAGUGUGUUACCAUAAGUGGGAUUCCUGUAACACCGAUCACCCUUAUUUGAAGAAUUUCAUGAAGUUCAAAGCGUGCUUUGCUUCUGAUGAUGAGGACUCACACCAAAAUGUUCCAGCUGGAUUCCUCAGCCUAGAAAGCUAUGAUGUGGCACAGCAUCCCCUGUCUUUCCACCUCCAUCUAGCCCAUGUAAGGGAGACCAGGACACCUAAAUGAGCCCAGAGAUAGAUCCCCAGUGAAGACCUCAUCACCUAGACGGCCAUCGGGACAAAACCACGGGAACCAGAUGAGUCCUCUACACAAUCUGACUUUUCUGCAGUUGGAACUGAACUGCUUGGUUCGUCUGGCCGGAGGAGAACUGGUCCCCUGACUGAGUCUGGUUCUCCCAAGGUUUUUUCUCCAUUCUGUCACUGAUGGAGUUUUGGUUCCUUGCCGCUGUCAUCUCUUAAUUUCCAGCGAAAUCGUUGACUUGAUUGCACAGAUACUAUUUAAACUGAACUGAGCUGGAUGAGGACAUCACUGAAUUCAAUAAUGAAAUGCCUUUAACUGAAAAUUGAGUGUUUACUAUUGUCCUUCUGCAUUAUAGACACACUAUUUUCCUAUUUGAUACUGUAAAGUUGCUUUGACACAAUCUGUAUUGUUAAAAGCGCUGUAUAAAUAAAGGUGACUUGACUUGACUGUAAGGAAUCAUCUCGGAGGGGAAUCUUGGGAUGGACGAUUUAGAGAACCUCCCUCAGGCCAUUUGUUCUUCUUUUUGGAUUGACUUAUGCCUUGCAUCUUUGUGCAUGACCAAUAUAUUGCAGACAUUUUAUCUUUGUUUUAUUAAACUCAACAUACCUAAAGUUACCUAAGAUUUGUUGAAUGGAUUUUGGAAAAUAAAUUUAAAUAAACUGAAUUUAAUCCUUGUA